CCUACGGGAGACAGCAGUGGGGAAUCUUCCACAAUGGGCGGAACUCUGCUGCAGCGACGCCGCGUGAGUGAAGAAGUAUCUCGGUACGUAACGCUCUAUUAGUAGGGAAGAACAUGACCGUACCUAACUAGAAGCCCCGGCUAACUACGUGCCAGCAGCCGCGGGGAUACGUAGGGGGCAAGCGUUAUCCGGAUUUACUGGUUGUAAAGGGAGCGUAGACGGGUCUGCAAGUCCGGAGUGAAAGCCCCAGGCUUAACCGUGGUACUGCUCUGGAAACUGUGGGGCUUGAGUGCGGUAGGGGCAGGCGGAAUUCCAAGUGUAGCGGUGAAAUGCGUAGAUAUUAGGAGGAACACCAGCGGCGAAGGCGGCCUGCUGGACCGUAACUGACGUUGAGGCUCGAAAGCGUGGGGAGCAAACAGGAUUAGAUACCCGUGUAGUC
Molecule: ribosomal RNA, 439 nt
Filed under: uncultured bacterium
Lineage: Bacteria
Description: partial 16S ribosomal RNA
Rfam family: Bacterial small subunit ribosomal RNA
Source: RNAcentral